Long non-coding RNA from Oncorhynchus tshawytscha (Chinook salmon), 647 nucleotides. The record is from Ensembl. Lineage: Eukaryota; Metazoa; Chordata; Actinopteri; Salmoniformes; Salmonidae.
AACCUGUCUUGUGCUUGUCUCCGCCCCCCACCAGGUGUCUCACCCUGAUCUGUUUAACCUGUCUUGUGCUUGUCUCCGCCCCCCACCAGGUGUCUCACCCUGAUCUGUUUCACCUGUCUUGUGCUUGUCUCCGCCCCCCACCAGGUGUCUCACCCUGAUCUGUUUCACCUGUCUUGUGCUUGACUCCGCCCCCCACCAGGUGUCUCCUAUUCUUCCCCAUUUUCCCCUGUGUAUUUAUUUUCUGUUUGUCAGAGCUUGAACCCAGGUGACCUGAAUGGACGACUGGGGUUUUGGGAGCAGGGCUGGGUUCAAAUAGUAUUUGUUUUCUUCCACAGCAUUUUAAUUGAGCCUACCUGGAGUGCCAGAUGGGCAGGGUUUGCACCUUUGGGAGUCUUCCACUGGUUUCAUUGCGCCAGGCAAGCUCAAUCAAGUGCAGAAAGAACAAAUGCUAUAAACCCAGGUAUGCUAAUUUUUAACUCCUGUUUACCAUUGGUUCUUCUAUUAGAGUGAGUUCAACCUCCUGUUUCAUAAACACUGUACAUGGUACCAUCUCUGUUAUACAAUACUGAGAACCUGGUUCACCACGCCAUAUCAGGUAAAUAUGGACACACAUUUAGCCUGUGUAUAAAACAUGCUCUGGGACAAAA